RNAcentral lists this ribosomal RNA (253 nucleotides) under uncultured bacterium. RNAcentral's name for it is "partial 16S ribosomal RNA". It matches the Rfam family "Bacterial small subunit ribosomal RNA", at positions 524 to 776 of the family's 1533-position model. The record is from RNAcentral.
UACGGAGGGUGCAAGCGUUGUUCGGAUUCAUUGGGCGUAAAGGGUGCGUAGGCGGCGCGGUAAGUCGGGUGUGAAAUUUCGAGGCUUAACUUCGAAACUGCAUUCGAUACUGCCGUGCUUGAGGACUGGAGAGGAGACUGGAAUUUACGGUGUAGCGGUGAAAUGCGUAGAUAUCGUAAGGAAGACCAGUGGCGAAGGCGGGUCUCUGGACAGUUCCUGACGCUGAGGCACGAAGGCCAGGGGAGCAAACGGG